GUUUUCCGAGCGGCUCUCGGGUCGUUCGGUUUUUAUCGAAAAGAUGCUCAAACUGGAUCAUUUAGAGGAAGUAAAAGUCGUAACAAGGUAUUCGUAGGUGAACCUGCGUAUGGAUCAUUA
RNAcentral lists this non-coding RNA (120 nucleotides) under Oryza sativa Indica Group (long-grained rice). RNAcentral describes it as "Eukaryotic small subunit ribosomal RNA". It matches the Rfam family "Eukaryotic small subunit ribosomal RNA", at positions 1717 to 1831 of the family's 1831-position model. The record is from Rfam by way of RNAcentral. Lineage: Eukaryota; Viridiplantae; Streptophyta; Magnoliopsida; Poales; Poaceae.